UACAUACUAGCCGAAUUAGAACAGGCACUUGACUUAAAAGCAAGGGUUUACGGGUUCAACUCCUGUGUGUG
RNAcentral lists this transfer RNA (71 nucleotides) under Nostoc sp. LEGE 06077. Its description in RNAcentral is "tRNA-Leu". It matches the Rfam family "tRNA". Rfam says of the family: Transfer RNA (tRNA) molecules are approximately 80 nucleotides in length. Their secondary structure includes four short double-helical elements and three loops (D, anti-codon, and T loops). The record is from RNAcentral. Lineage: Bacteria; Bacillati; Cyanobacteriota; Cyanophyceae; Nostocales; Nostocaceae.